UUUUAUUGCAUCAUCUCAUCACAAAAGGUAGAAUUUUGAUACUACUUGCUUCACAGAAAAUGAAAAACUCCUCUGUCAUGCUUUUCAUCUCUCUUGCCAUGAUAUUGGCGAUUUCUGGUUAGUUCAUUCUUGCAAAAAAUAUUUUAAUCUCCUUAAUAUUUCCAUCAAUAUAGAUGAUUUAAAGUUACAUUAUGUGCAGGUUUAAGAUUGUCAAAUGGUUUAGCUGAAGGGAUAGUUGCUCGCGCUCCAUACCAUGCAGGGGCUCCAAACCAUAUAUUGAACGCAUACGAUUGCAGUAAAG
Molecule: long non-coding RNA, 301 nt
Filed under: Daucus carota (carrot)
Lineage: Eukaryota; Viridiplantae; Streptophyta; Magnoliopsida; Apiales; Apiaceae
Description: long non-coding RNA (DCAR_LNC006379)
Source: RNAcentral